RNAcentral lists this ribosomal RNA (403 nucleotides) under Fusobacteriota bacterium. RNAcentral describes it as "Fusobacteria bacterium partial 16S ribosomal RNA". It matches the Rfam family "Bacterial small subunit ribosomal RNA", at positions 355 to 776 of the family's 1533-position model. The record is from RNAcentral. Lineage: Bacteria; Fusobacteriati; Fusobacteriota.
UGGGGAAUAUUGCACAAUGGGGGAAACCCUGAUGCAGCGACGCCGCGUGAGCGAAGAAGGUUUUCGAAUCGUAAAGCUCUGUCCUAUGGGAAGAUAAUGACGGUACCAUAGGAGGAAGCCCCGGUUAACUACGUGCCAGCAGCCGCGGUAAUACGUAGGGGGCAAGCGUUGUCCGGAAUCACUGGGCGUAAAGGGUUCGCAGGCGGAAAUGCAAGUCAGUUGUGAAAGGCAGAGGCUCAACCUCUGUAAGCAAUUGAAACUGUAUUUCUUGAGAUGUGGAGAGGCAAGUGGAAUUCCUAGUGUAGCGGUGAAAUGCGUAGAUAUUAGGAAGAAUACCGGUGGCGAAGGCGACUUGCUGGACACAAACUGACGCUGAGGAACGAAAGCGUGGGUAGCAAACAGG